AAAAAGUGAAUGUGAUCUGUGAUCGAAGUUCUUGUGGCAAACCUGACAUUUAGUAUGCAUAUCUUUAGAGAAUUAGGACAUACAAUAAAAAAAACUACUUGAAUCAACGGAUGUUCAUUAAAGGCGACAUGUAUUCAAGUAAAUAUAUGUACAUUCAUGCUUCUAAUAUAUGUAGGUUCAACUCUGAAUAUUAUCCAUUUUAAUUGCAUUGUAACUGUUAAUAAGUUUUUUAUGAUUCCGUGUCCCGGCGAACACAUAGUGAAAUGUGUCCUUCUAAUCGAAUAGUGAAAUAUGUCCUUCUAAUCGAAUCAGUUUUGGUUUUGUAUUUUUUUAAAAGUCCAUUAUUUCUUUACAAUAAGUAUGGAAAUACAGCACAUUGAGACCUUGUGGGUUGAUGUAGACUUUUUGAAGCCACCAACCUGUAAAACUACACCUACUUAUAAUGUUUAAAAAUCAGCACAUCUCUGGACUUAAAAAGUACUAUUAAGAUAUAAAGAUUUUUUUAUCUUUUGUAGUUAUUUUUUAAGCGGUUAAAGUUCAAGUAAAUAGCGUGUGUUAUCUAACAUCCGUUAACUGCAUCUCUACUUAGUCUAGGGGAGUUGCCCAUCAACCUUAUAAUUUAACCAGUCAAUAGAUCACCACUGAGCAGGGCAUCCGGCUGAGCUAUUCACUUUUAUAAGAAUGCAACUGAACACAUUUCUGCAUUCACACUGCUUUUUAAAAUUAAGUAAUUAUAACUCAUAUAUAUUAACAUGUGUCAAUAUACAUACCGAUAUUGUUUUUGUUUUUUUGUUUUAUUUGAGUACAUUAUUUUCAAUUUGCAUACAUUAACCUAGAAAUAUAUACAAUGAAAAAUUAACAACUUGUUAACAAUCGUUUACUUUGGAUUCAAAACAACAAUGUCACAUUAAAUAUAAUUUAUUGAUGCAUGAUAAGAUAAGAUGAAUCAUUUUGGGUUGAGGAUUUUAACAUUAACUUUCCUAGGAGUUACCAUUGUUUGUACGACCUCUCAAGAUAAUGUAUUGUACGAUGUACACACACAUCAAUGACGUAGUUGAAAAUCCCCCCUAUUCCAAUAUAUUUGUUUAAAGAUGUUAACAACAAAACAUCUCCAACAGCCAUUUAUGUAAUAUUAUAGGCGACAUGACCAACAUUUCUGAAAGACACGCCCGACUUUGUACUUAAUUUGUUUAAAGGAGAAAUAAUACAGCAAUCGUACAGUCCCCUGUAUUUAUCAUGUACAUUUUCAACUUUUAAUAGAGCAACAAAUUUUGACCCAUAAGUAGAACAUAAAUAGUUUGCUUAACGCUUUUUUGCCCAUCCUGAAUGUUAAUUUAAGCAAGAUUUAAUACCAAUUUAAAGUUUAAAAUACUGAUUAUUAAUAGUUAUCAUAUUAUAUCUGUCGUGUCACACAUUCAAACCUAUUGUGCUAUGGUUAUAAAUAUGUGUAUAAUAUAAUUAAUCUUUAGAUCAUGUAAUGAGGAAUACAUUUGUGUUCAAAUUACUGAAUUAAUAUUUUGAAUAUUGAAAUUUGAAUCAUAAAAAAGAUUGUUGGACUAAAAUGGCCCUUUUUAGAACAUAACAGGCUUCAUUGUUCGAUAACGAUUUCACGAAUUCUCGCGAAAACCAAGUUGCGAAAAAAAGUAUUUUGGCCAGUACAGGGGAGUAUCACGUGAUCACUAUAGUACAUUGGCCGUACAAGAUGGCGAAUAAUUCGACCGCAUCAACACAUAAAUUCGGCGUUUACGGAUAGUAAAUAUUUAGAUUAUGCUGCACUACAAGUCUGUCCGGCCUACUUAAAACGCUUUUCAGACGAGUUCUGAAGUGAGUCGGAUUAAUAUUUCGUAAUGCGACGGAAGAAGUCCACACUUUCGCUCCAUAGACCCAAACAAAAACGAACUGGAAAGCAAAAUUGUUUUCUCCAGCAAAAUGCCAUACACAAGUAAUUCUCGAAGGAUUGCCACCAUUUCUAUCUCCUAUGAAAUGACCAUUCCGUUCCCCUCUCUGCAAGGAUUCGCCACUAAAAUACAAUUGAAAUUGCCUGAACUGUUAUAGUGAGAAUUAGAAUCAAUGUAUCAUAUGUUAGUUUGACAAUUUCAUUGAAGUUAUCGUUGUCGCUGUGUUGUCACGUGUAUGUAAGACAUUCGAACCGUCAAAUAGUUUACGUGUGAUGUCUUCUUUUUUCACCACAAGCAUAAUAGUGCAUUGCUUUUUGAUAUAUUCAGUUUGUGUUAACCGACGAAUAGGUGAAUAAAAAGAAACUAAUAUGUA
Long non-coding RNA from Mya arenaria, 2271 nucleotides. RefSeq lists it as uncharacterized. NCBI's taxonomy places the organism in Eukaryota, Metazoa, Mollusca, Bivalvia, Myida, Myidae. The transcript has 3 exons. The record is from RefSeq and is a predicted model, not a curated record.